RNAcentral lists this ribosomal RNA (1008 nucleotides) under Hydnellum inflatum. RNAcentral's name for it is "SSU rRNA". It matches the Rfam family "Eukaryotic small subunit ribosomal RNA", at positions 92 to 1104 of the family's 1831-position model. Lineage: Eukaryota; Fungi; Basidiomycota; Agaricomycetes; Thelephorales; Thelephoraceae. The record is from RNAcentral.
AAUGGCUCAUUAAAUCAGUUAUAGUUUAUUUGAUGGUACCUUGCUACAUGGAUAACUGUGGUAAUUCUAGAGCUAAUACAUGCGAUAAAGCCCCGACUUCUGGGAGGGGUGUAUUUAUUAGAUAAAAAACCAACGCGGUUCGCCGCUCCAUUGGUGAUUCAUAAUAACUUCUCGAAUCGCACGGCCUUGCGCUGGCGAUGCUUCAUUCAAAUAUCUGCCCUAUCAACUUUCGAUGGUAGGAUAGUGGCCUACCAUGGUUUCAACGGGUAACGGGGAAUAAGGGUUCGAUUCCGGAGAGGGAGCCUGAGAAACGGCUACCACAUCCAAGGAAGGCAGCAGGCGCGCAAAUUACCCAAUCCCGACACGGGGAGGUAGUGACAAUAAAUAACAAUAUAGGGCCCUUUCGGGUCUUAUAAUUGGAAUGAGUACAAUUUAAAUCCCUUAACGAGGAACGAUUGGAGGGCAAGUCUGGUGCCAGCAGCCGCGGUAAUUCCAGCUCCAAUAGCGUAUAUUAAAGUUGUUGCAGUUAAAAAGCUCGUAGUUGAACUUCAGACCUGGCCGGACGGUCUGCCUCACGGUAUGUACUGUCCUUGGCCGGGCCUUACCUCUUGGUGAGCCAUCAUGUCCUUUGUUGGGUGUGGUGGGGAACCAGGACCUUUACCUUGAGAAAAUUAGAGUGUUCAAAGCAGGCCUAUGCCCGAAUACAUUAGCAUGGAAUAAUAAAAUAGGACGUGCGGUUCUAUUUUGUUGGUUUCUAGAGUCGCCGUAAUGAUUAAUAGGGAUAGUUGGGGGCAUUAGUAUUCGGUUGCUAGAGGUGAAAUUCUUGGAUUUACCGAAGACUAACUACUGCGAAAGCAUUUGCCAAGGAUGUUUUCAUUAAUCAAGAACGAAGGUUAGGGGAUCGAAAACGAUCAGAUACCGUUGUAGUCUUAACAGUAAACCAUGCCGACUAGGGAUCGGGCGAACUCGAUUUUAUGUGACGCCCGGCACCUUACGAGAAAUCAAAGU